Molecule: non-coding RNA, 30 nt
Filed under: Mus musculus (house mouse)
Lineage: Eukaryota; Metazoa; Chordata; Mammalia; Rodentia; Muridae
Source: RNAcentral
UAAACCAAAAACACGGUAUUCCAGCUAUUU